RNAcentral lists this transfer RNA (66 nucleotides) under Candidatus Bathyarchaeota archaeon. RNAcentral describes it as "tRNA-Gly". The record is from RNAcentral. Lineage: Archaea; Thermoproteati; Candidatus Bathyarchaeota.
GGCCAAAUAGCCUAGCCUAAGAUAUCGGCCUGCCACGCCGGCGACCCGGUUCAAAUCCUGCGGCCG